AUUAACACGCGUGUUAUUAUUAUAUUUUUAAUCGAUGGAUCAUUGUGAAUAUUAUAAAAAUUUAGAAAUAAAUUAUAAUUAUUAGGCAAUAUAAUUUUUACGUAGUCGAUUUGAAUAGGAUAGAUGAUUCUAGCCAAUCAGGAAGCUUCUAAUAUUUAACGGUAAGAAAAAUUAAUUGUAUAGCAUGAGUCUACUAUUAGGAAUUGCAGGAAAUAUCCUCUCAUCGUCUCAUAAAUAUAUAAUUCUGUGGUAUUUGAUUAUGUAAAAAUUUAUAUAUAGUUAAUAUUCUUAUUUAUUUUAUUUAUAUUUUUAAUUGUUAAUUUUACUAUAAAAGUUAUAUAAUUUUACAAUUGAAAUGUAUUAGAUAAUAGUCAUAUUUUAACACAGCUGAAAUAAGUUAUAUAGAUUACUCCAGCCAAUCAGGAAGCUUGUAAAAUCUAGUGGAUAAAGGAAUCAGUUGCAUGGCGUCAGUCUACUGCCAAGAAUCGAAGGAGAAUUGCGCGACAUUUUAUUAUAUUUAAUUACGUGAAUUUAGUGUAAUAUAAUUUCUAAGUUAUUAAUUUUUUUUUAAUUAAUGUGUUUAAGCAUUUGUGAAAUAUUAUAUCAAAAUUGUUUUUUGAAAUUUUUUGUUGGUUAUCAUUGGUUAUUGUAUGUAUUUAAUAAUUGCAGUAAUUGAUUAUUCAUGUUAUAAAUAUUUAUAAUCGGAUUUGAAUGUUAUUCUCAUAUUAUUUUAAUAUUAUUUUAAUUUCAUAUAAUUGUUUUAUUGUUCUAAAAUAAUUUUUAAUUGUGCAGAUUACUUGAUUAUUGGAAGGUGAAUGGCUUGGAAGAUGCAAUAGGUUAUGAAUACUUCACGUUCAUAUAAAUAUGGAAAUGAAUGGUUUCGUAUUACGUUCAAUGUUCCGAAUUGUUGUCAAACUUCGAGCAUGUAAGUCUCCUUAAUCCAAUUCAAUAAACGAAAUCGUGGCACGAGCUGCCAUUUUGCUGUCGAAUGUCGUGCUGUGUGGUAGCUUCAUUUCGCUUUCAGUAUAGUUCUCGCUUCUUAAUUCAUAAUGGUUGUGCAAUAACUUUUCAUGGGACAUUAAUAGCAGCAUCAUUAGCAGAUUUUUCACAUCUAAUGGUGAGUCACAUAUAUUUCUGUUUUUCCGGACACUCAAUUAUUCAGAUGAAAGAUCUAAAUCAAAUGACUGUG
Molecule: long non-coding RNA, 1189 nt
Organism: Apis cerana (Asiatic honeybee)
Lineage: Eukaryota; Metazoa; Arthropoda; Insecta; Hymenoptera; Apidae
Source: RefSeq, a predicted model, not a curated record